AUGGAGGCCUCCCGAUCUCUUCCCAUGGAUGGUGGUGGCUCUAGUUCUCGCUCUGCUCCUCGCAAGACCAAGAAGAGGGCAGGAAGGACCUUGCGCCCGGUUGUGUUUGAUGAUGAAGAGGAAGUUGUGAUUCCCACCAAGCCCACUCGCCGUGAAAAGUCUGCAGCUGCUAAGCAACGUGUGGUUAUGCCGUUGCAUCGUUGGAAAGCCAAGGAUUGGGAAGCCUUCCGCUCAAAGAAUCCGUAUGAGGUUCCCAUUGCUCCCCGUUGGACCACUGUUCAGUUCCGGAAUGAGAUGCAAGUGCGGAUUGUUCAUGAACUCUUCGAGCACAACAAGAACAGAUAUACCAAGCAGUGGACAAUUGAUCUUGACCAUUGGAGAAACAACUUGGAGUAUUUUGAUGAUGCGCGCACUCUCACCUUCAUGUGUCGCGAUGAAUUGUUUCACGUUCCUUGGAGGGCUUUCUGCAAUGCUCUUGGGUACGAGGAUACCGGUCUGGAAGGAAGGGGUGGCAUUCUCCCUCAUGAUUUUCCUGAGUCCAUGCCUAAGGAGAAGCUUGCCCCUCUGUACAUUCGGGGCCGUGGGAUUAUUGGAGAAUCCAAGGAUUUGGAGAAGGUCUAUGACAUCAUGCACCGGGUGUUCCACAAUGUGCUCUUGCCCAAGGUGGGCAAUCAAGAUGAGAUUCAUGGCUAUCUGGUUGAUUUGAUGGUUGCUAUGAAGACCAUGGUGGGGACAGGGGCAAUGUUUGAUGUGUCAAAUUGGUUGUGGCAUGAUAUGUACAACAUGGUCAUCUACCGUAAAGUCCCAAUCUACGCUCCGUUUGUCAUGUGCUUUCUGAACUCUGUGUGGGCUGUUCGCCGUCCUGGAGAGCUCCUCACUUCUCCAGACAACCUCACUGUUCAUGAGGUCAAGCUCCUUAAGAAGAAGAAGCAUGCCGAGCCUCGCUUCCCUGAACAUGCUCCCGAGGAUGUCUAUGCUACUUCUGAUGAUGAGGACUUUGAGCUGGAGCCAGGGCCCAAGCCUUCGUGGGUGGCCAAACUUACUGCCAAGGUGAAGAAGACCUUUUGUCUCCAGGCUGACAUCCAGAAGAAGAUGUAUGAGGAACAUGUCAAUGAGAAGCUUGCAUGGCGUCGCCAGAUUGCAAUGAUGAAGCACCUCAACAUGCAGAAGCUUGGAUCCGCCAAGGAGGGCGGCAAGACACCUCAUCUGCUGCCUGUGAGUGUGAUCAUGAGCGUGACGGUGGCCAACAAGACACCGGAUGCUGUCCGGCAGGUCAUGGCUUGGGCGCUCUUGAACGCCUUCGUCUUCGUCGUCUCCUACGCCAUGGGCUACGCAAUCGACUGCGCACUCCACCAUUACCAUGUCUCCUGCAGCAAGUUCUCGUUCAUUCUCCGUUGCGACCAGCUGACUGACGCAGAGCGCAACCACUGGAUCGUGAUUCUGUCCUGUGCCACGUUCCAGGCGGCCGCAGCCGCGCUGGUGCUCUGGCUCCCGGGCCGCCACCGCUGGGUCCUCUGUGCCUUGGCCUACCUCGCGCUCCUCCUCACUGUCGUCGGCCAUUGCAUGUUUUUCGCCGACGUCUGCCUCAACCUCGCCGCUGACCCAGGGCGCCUCGUCUGCUGGAUCUUAUGCACCAUGGCCAUCGUCUUCUACGCGGUUGGCGACAUCAUCAGCUUCAUGACCCUCCUCUGUGGAGAGGAUUAUGGGGAACUACCGAAGGGAAUGACAUCUAAGAAAGCCACCAAGGAGGAUGUGCAAGAGAAGAUGAAGCCGAUUCUUGCUGCCAACGACUCAACUUCCAGCAGCGGUGCAGCGAUCCCCCUCCCGUGCUUGUCGCUGCAUCCUCCACCAGUUGAUGAGGGUGACGACAGGGAUGAGGGUGAUGAUAUAUCUGAUUUGCUAAGAGAUCUUGCUGCUGGUUUGGAUAAAGGGGGAGAUCUUGAAGAUGAUUGUGGUUUAGAUCAGGAUGAUUCUUUUCUAGAAUCUCUCCACAAACUUGAAGCUGAUUCUAGACAAGAGCUAUUUCCAGGCUAGGGCUAUUUGUUUGAUGAGAGCUUGACAUUUUGCUCACACUAUUUGGAUGAUGAGAGUCGGUUGAAUCGAGCUAGGAAUGAUGGAGGUUUGGAUAUGGAAGUUGAUGAUACAACUCCUUUCUUCCACAACAUUGGUCGAGGGCUGGCUGGCAAGUGCAUGGUGAUGUUAGAUAACAAAACUUGGUUGCAAGCCCACAGAUAUGUCUUGUUCAAUUAUGACAACAUAGAACCAUACCUAGAUCAUCGAGAAGUCAAGCGUGUGCAUUACGAGACAUUUCAUGAGUGGUUUAAAUUGCACGUGGUAGAAAUGGGAGAUGAAGCACCUCAUGAGAUAAAAAUAUUAGAUAAAGAGCCAAACUUGGUUGCUAUGAAGUAUAGUAGCUACACUAUAAAUGGGGUAGACUUUCAUACACAAUCAUAUGAUGAGGGCCACUCAUUUCAGAGUAGUGGAGUAGCUCUUGUUGCACAAACCACAUCCUUUGCAAAAGGAAAAGGUGACAAUAUUAAUGUAAGAAACAAGACCUAUUAUGGCAUUAUAAAGGAAAUUCUUGAGUUGAAUUAUCAACAUGAAGGUAAAGUAGUGUUGUUCAAAUGUGACUGGGUUGAUAAUCGUGUAGAAGAUGAAUGGGUGCAAACUGAUCAGUUUGGAAUCACUUCUGUGAAUUUCAAGCAUUUGUUCAAUACCGGUGAGAAAAUAUCAGACGAGCCCUUCAUAUUAGCCACACAAGCAACUCAAGUUUACUAUGUUGAAGAUCCCAUUGAUGCUGAGUGGUCUACUGUUGUUGUUCCAUCAUUAUAUGACAUAGAAGAAUCUAAAGAUGACAAUGGAGGAAAAAUGGCAAGCGCAAACGGAAGAGCUAAAGAUGGUGGGGUCACGGAGGAACAACUGAAAGCGGUAGAGUAUGAACUACUGAGAAGAAAGACCAUUGAACAGAAUGAUAAACGGCUAGCAGCGGUACGAGCAACAAGAGCUUCUAUGCAGGAAGAUAUGGAAGCGAACCAAGCCCCCAAAAAGAAAAGAAAGGCACCCUCCAGCGCACCUGUAAGCGUGAAUGAAGGACGUGUUUUGAGGUCUAGGGUAUCAAAAGAUCAAGGUCAUGUUGAUCCUGAGCAUCAGCCUUCCAAAGAGAUUACUCAUGAGCUUGAUGGUGAUGGUAGUCAAAGAAAGGCAUUUUAUGAGCUGGACUCAAUUGCUUUGAGCUUUGUUAUCAACACUUCACACAUAAAAUGGAAGGAUUGUAAGUCAGAUUUAAAGAGGUACAAGUUUGAUGCUGCACUCACUGAUGCACAACUUAUGAAAAGACGUGACAGCAGAAUUAGUGAAGCUGACUGGAAGACCCUUAUUACUUAUUGGAGAUCUUCGGCAUUUGAAUCUCGUAGUGCUAUCGCCAAAAACAAUCGUGCCAAUGCAGUACCUCAUACAUCUGGCAGUAAGAGUCAUGCCCGUGUUGCCAAUGAAAUGGCUGUCAAACUUGGGCAUGAUCCUCAGAGAGAUGAAGUUUAUAUCGAAACACAUAUACGUAAGAAAGGGGAAAGGAAAGGGAGUUAUGUGCCGCAGGCAGAAACAACAAUUAAAGAACUCAUAGAGAAUGCUGAAAAGCACCCUGAAUGGAAGGAAAAGAGCAUUCAAGAAGGUGAUCUGUUUGCACGCGUAUGUGGAAUGAAGGAGCCCAGGGGUCGUGUCCGUGUGUUAGGUCUAGGUCCAACACCUCAAGAUUUGGGCACACCAAGUACACGGGGUAAAUUGAGCACAAGAGUUCUAGUUGAAAUGCAAGGGCGUCAAGAAGCUGAAAAUCGCUAUAACAUGCUCCAGGGGCAUGUGCAACAAAUGGAAGAAAGAAUGAACCGAAUGGAAUUGAUGUUAGCUUCACAAGGAAGGCAUAAUCUGGAAACUCCUAGCUCGCAGCAUGGUUCCAAUUCUCGACAAAACUCCGGAGCUGAAGCUGAGGAACAUAAUGACGCUGAAGAAGAUGUUGAACAGGAUGAUGAAGAGCCAUUUGUUCAAAGAAGAGUUGUUGCAAAGCCCCCUGCAAGAAGCUCAUCAACCUAUGAAGAUGAAAGCCUUAUUGGUAUGGAUGUGCUUCUAUAUGCAUGGACUGGUCCUGAAACUCCUGCUGCCAAGGCAACAAUUAUCUCAGUUGACCCAGACACUAUUGUGGGCGGAGAGAACCUUGGACCAAGAACUUAUGAGGUUCUUGUCAAUGUUGCUAUUCGAAGAGAUGCUACGGUGCCAUAUGAAUAUGAUGAUUUACAAAUUAUUGCUGAUGAUGUCACAAGGUCCAUUGCAUGGCCAUCUAGCAAGGCGGCCGCGGACGCGCUGGUGCUCUGGCUCCCGGGCCGCUGCCGCUGGGUCCUCCGUGCCUUGGCCUACCUCGCGCUCGUCCUCACCGUCGUCGGCCACUGCAUGUGUUUCGCCAACGUCUGCCUCAACCACGCCGCCGACUCAGGACGCCUCGAUUCCUUUGAGCUUGCCCGGCGGGAUUCCUCAAGAGAUGGGGGGGAUGUUGAAAUGGGGAUGCAUCAGCCCGACGCCUCUGAUAAUUUAAAUGGCUUCUUCAAGAAGACUGCAAAUGAGGAAUCAAAAGCAGUUACAAAAGCAAGCGCCAUGAAAGCAAUUAAGAAGCAAAUGGAGAAAGAUAUUGAUGCAGUGAUGAAAAUUGCUCGUAUGGCAAAAACAAAAAUUGAUGAACUGGAAAAAGAUGUAUUGAGAGAAUCAAUCCGGCAGGAGUACCGGGAAGUUGUUGAAAGAAGGGUAUUUACUGUAACUGGUAAUCGCCCUGAUGAACAGACAAUUGACGAUUUAAUCGAGACAGGGAGAAGCGAGCAAAUUUUCAAAGAUGCGGUUCAACAGCAGGGGAGAGGCCAGAUAUUGGAUACUGUUGCUGAGAUACAGGAGCGGCAUGAUGCUAUAUUCCUGGAUAUGGCAGUAUUGGUUGUGGCCCAAGGAGAGAUGACAGAUGACAUAGUGACACAUGUUUCAAAGGGUACUGACUACAUGCAGCAAGGUUUGGAUGCUCUCCAGAAGGCAAAGAAGCUACAGAAGAACUCGAGAAUGUGCAUGUGCUCCGCCAUACUCGUUCUCCUGCUGAUAGUGGUUAUCGUCGUGCUCACAGUUAUCCAGCCAGGGAAGAAGUAA
This 5169-nucleotide ribosomal RNA is filed under the name Triticum aestivum (bread wheat). RNAcentral's name for it is "partial small subunit ribosomal RNA". Lineage: Eukaryota; Viridiplantae; Streptophyta; Magnoliopsida; Poales; Poaceae. The record is from RNAcentral.